UAAAAUCUCCCCAAAUCUCUCCCUCCAUCUUCCCUCUCCCCCCACCCACCGCUGACCACGAGCAGCAACGUCGACCCAAAGGCCGAGCACCUGUGACACAGCAACUCCGCAUCCGGCAACCACGGAUUUCAAGUUUUUUUUUUCCAACCGUGCCACCUCUCUCUUCCAUCGUGCUCCACCCUCUCCUCCCUUCACCACCGAAUAUCUAGGCCACCAAAAGAGCUACCCACCGUCGCACCCUCAAGGAUUUUGUUACACGUGUGGUUGAGAGUUAAGCUGAAGAUUCAAGAAGGGGCAGCUGGCGGUGUACGUGGCAGAUGCAGAGGAGUAGCAUGAAUUAUGGAUUCUAGUUGGAAUCCAGUAAUUCAGUUUCACACGUGUUUUACAGUUACUGCUUCAAGAUAUAGUUGUUUUAAUUCUUCUGCAUUUCAAUUGUGUAUAAAUAUAAUUGAUUGCAGUUGUAAAGGCAGUUUUUGACAUUUGUUGAGUUCAGUUUGAACUAAGGAGACUCGCCAUCUCGAAUUGGCUUAUUCAAUAAAUAUUCUUCAUUCUCCCCUUCA
Alnus glutinosa is the source of this 560-nucleotide long non-coding RNA. RefSeq lists it as uncharacterized. The transcript has 2 exons. NCBI's taxonomy places the organism in Eukaryota, Viridiplantae, Streptophyta, Magnoliopsida, Fagales, Betulaceae. The record is from RefSeq and is a predicted model, not a curated record.